This 744-nucleotide ribosomal RNA is filed under the name uncultured bacterium. RNAcentral's name for it is "bacterial SSU rRNA". It matches the Rfam family "Bacterial small subunit ribosomal RNA", at positions 8 to 798 of the family's 1533-position model. The record is from RNAcentral.
AGAGUUUGAUCCUGGCUCAGAGCGAACGCUGGCGGCAGGCCUAACACAUGCAAGUCGAACGAACUCUUCGGAGUUAGUGGCGGACGGGUGAGUAACACGUGGGAAAGUGCCUUUAGGUUCGGAAUAGCUCCUGGAAACGGGUGGUAAUGCCGAAUGUGCCCUUCGGGGGAAAGAUUUAUCGCCUUUAGAGCGGCCCGCGUCUGAUUAGCUAGUUGGUGGGGUAAUGGCCCACCAAGGCUACGAUCAGUAGCUGGUCUGAGAGGAUGACCAGCCACAUUGGGACUGAGACACGGCCCAAACUCCUACGGGAGGCAGCAGUGGGGAAUCUUGCGCAAUGGGCGAAAGCCUGACGCAGCCAUGCCGCGUGUAUGAUGAAGGUCUUAGGAUUGUAAAAUACUUUCACCGGUGAAGAUAAUGACUGUAGCCGGAGAAGAAGCCCCGGCUAACUUCGUGCCAGCAGCCGCGGUAAUACGAAGGGGGCUAGCGUUGCUCGGAAUUACUGGGCGUAAAGGGAGCGUAGGCGGACAUUUAAGUCAGAGGUGAAAUCCCGGAGCUUAACUUCGGAACUGCCUUUGAUACUGGGUGUCUUGAGUGUGAGAGAGGUAUGUGGAACUCCGAGUGUAGAGGUGAAAUUCGUAGAUAUUCGGAAGAACACCAGUGGCGAAGGCGACAUACUGGCUCAUUACUGACGCUGAGGCUCGAAAGCGUGGGGAGCAAACAGGAUUAGAUACCCUGGUAGUCCAA